This 492-nucleotide ribosomal RNA is filed under the name uncultured bacterium. Its description in RNAcentral is "partial 16S ribosomal RNA". It matches the Rfam family "Bacterial small subunit ribosomal RNA", at positions 29 to 507 of the family's 1533-position model. The record is from RNAcentral.
AGUGAGCGCUGGCGGUAGGCCUAACACAUGCAAGUCGAGCGGCAGCACAGUAAGAGCUUGCUCUUACGGGUGGCGAGUGGCGGACGGGUGAGGAAUAGAUCGGAAUCUACUUUUUCUUGGGGGAUAACGUAGGGAAACUGACGCUAAUACCGCAUACGACCUACGGCUGAGAGCAGUAGUUCUUCGGACCUUGCGCGAUUCAAUGAGCCGAUGUCGGAUUAGCUAGUUGGCGAGGUAAAGGCCCACCAAGGCAACGAUCCGUAGCUGGUCUGAGAGGAUGAUCAGCCACACUGGAACUGAGACACGGUCCAGACUCCUACGGGAGGCAGCAGUGGGGAAUCUUCGACAAUGGGCGCAAGCCUGAUCCAGCCAUACCGCGUGAGUGAAGAAGGUCUUCGGGUUGUAAAGCUCUUUUGUUGGGAAAGAAAAGCAGCAGGUUAAUCCCCCGCUGUUCUGACGGUACCCAAAGAAUAAGCCCCGGCUAACUUCGUG